Molecule: transfer RNA, 77 nt
Filed under: Natronincola ferrireducens
Lineage: Bacteria; Bacillati; Bacillota; Clostridia; Peptostreptococcales; Natronincolaceae
Description: tRNA_Arg_CCT
Rfam family: tRNA
About the family: Transfer RNA (tRNA) molecules are approximately 80 nucleotides in length.
Source: RNAcentral
GCACCUGUAGCUCAGCAGGACAGAGCAACGGUUUCCUAAACCGCAGGUCGGAGGUUCGAGUCCUCUCAGGUGCACCA